AUGAAAGUUGCUCAGAACGACGAGACGAACCCGGAUACGCAGCCCGUUCGUCCACCACACACCUCUAACAUACCAAACACGCAACUUUCCCCCUCCGGUUCAUCUGUCCGAAAACGCGAAACCCCGGGAAUACUUUCCCGGAUGUUUUCCCCCUUCGUCGGUAUCACCUACUACCGCGAUUGGGCACACCGAACACCGCGUAUUGCCUUGAUAUAUUUUGUGGUGCUUUGUUUGCUCUGUAUUCAUUAUUUCUUCCCCCUCUUCUCUCCGGUAGACUACGAGACCGACGCUGCUGCUGACCAGUUCGACUACGGAGUUGACGACCCCUCUCUCUUGCCAGAGCAACCAGGCAAGCCCCCCCUUUGA
RNAcentral lists this ribosomal RNA (366 nucleotides) under Triticum aestivum (bread wheat). RNAcentral describes it as "partial small subunit ribosomal RNA". Lineage: Eukaryota; Viridiplantae; Streptophyta; Magnoliopsida; Poales; Poaceae. The record is from RNAcentral.